Molecule: unclassified non-coding RNA, 353 nt
Filed under: soil metagenome
Description: partial contains 5.8S ribosomal RNA, internal transcribed spacer 2, and large subunit ribosomal RNA
Rfam family: 5.8S ribosomal RNA (bases 1-120)
Source: RNAcentral
GAUGAAGAACGUAGCGAAAUGCGAUAAGUAAUGUGAAUUGCAGAAUUCAGUGAAUCAUCGAAUCUUUGAACGCACAUUGCACCCGCCAGUAUUCUGGCGGGCAUGCCUGUUCGAGCGUCAUUACAACCCUCAGGCCCCCGGGCCUGGCGUUGGGGAUCGGCGGAAGCCCCCUGCGGGCACAACGCCGUCCCCCAAAUACAGUGGCGGUCCCGCCGCAGCUUCCAUUGCGUAGUAGCUAACACCUCGCAACUGGAGAGCGGCGCGGCCACGCCGUAAAACACCCAACUUCUGAAUGUUGACCUCGAAUCAGGUAGGAAUACCCGCUGAACUUAAGCAUAUCAAUAAGCGGAGGA